CGCGUAGGCGGUUAAUUAAGUCAGAUGUGAAAGCCCAGGGCUCAACCUUGGAACUGCAUUUGAAACUGGUUGACUAGAGUUUUGUAGAGGGUGGUAGAAUUUCAGGUGUAGCGGUGAAAUGCGUAGAGAUCUGAAGGAAUACCAGUGGCGAAGGCGGCCACCUGGACAAAGACUGACGCUGAGGCGCGAAGGCGUGGGGAGCAAACAGGAUUAGAUACCCUGGUAGUCC
RNAcentral lists this ribosomal RNA (229 nucleotides) under uncultured bacterium. RNAcentral describes it as "partial 16S ribosomal RNA". It matches the Rfam family "Bacterial small subunit ribosomal RNA", at positions 568 to 796 of the family's 1533-position model. The record is from RNAcentral.